Molecule: ribosomal RNA, 403 nt
Filed under: uncultured bacterium
Lineage: Bacteria
Description: bacterial SSU rRNA
Rfam family: Bacterial small subunit ribosomal RNA
Source: RNAcentral
GGGGAAUCUUCCGCAAUGGGCGAAAGCCUGACGGAGCAACGCCGCGUGAGGGAAGAAGGCCUUCGGGUUGUAAACCUCUGUUUUCAGGGAAGAAAAAAAUGACGGUACCUGAAGAGUAAGCUCCGGCUAACUACGUGCCAGCAGCCGCGGUAAUACGUAGGGAGCGAGCGUUGUCCGGAUUUACUGGGCGUAAAGGGCGCGUAGGUGGUCUAUUAAGUUAUAGGUGAAAGCCCGGGGCUCAACCCCGUGAUUGCCUGUGAUACUGGUAGACUUGAGUGCAGGAGAGGGGAGCAGAAUUCCCAGUGUAGCGGUGAAAUGCGUAGAUAUUGGGAGGAAUACCAGUGGCGAAGGCGGCUCUCUGGACUGUAACUGACACUGAGGCGCGAAAGCGUGGGGAGCGAAC